RNAcentral lists this transfer-messenger RNA (390 nucleotides) under Patescibacteria group. RNAcentral describes it as "GWC2-37-13 sp902200405 Standard tmRNA". It matches the Rfam family "transfer-messenger RNA". Rfam says of the family: Bacterial tmRNA, also known as 10Sa RNA or SsrA, is named for its dual tRNA and mRNA-like properties. Its role is to liberate the mRNA from a stalled ribosome. RNAcentral also lists the same sequence under 1 other name. The record is from RNAcentral.
GGGGAUGCAAGGCAUCGACGGGAAAUUUGCACUUUUAAAAAUGGCUUAGACGCACCUAUGCGUUAAAUGGAAAAACUUAACUGAUAAAAAUACUUUAUCACCUGAAGAAGCGGCUUAUCUACAGGGUGCACAACCUGCAUUUCUGUUUGCAUAAGUCUUUUCCAAGACUCUCUCUAGAUUUCGUCCGAUUCAAUUUAUAGAGGGGUAAACCAAUCGGAAUAAGGCGAGAUGACUUUUCUAGUUAGUCAUUGAGUCCACAAUUUAUAACUAGCUUUCCGAUGAGCUUUGAUUAUAUAAGCUAUCGGAAUAGAGUAAAAAUAAUCUAUUCUAAGCUAAACUUUUUUAUCGGUGUUUUCUCGGACGCGAGUUCGAUUCUCGCCAUCUCCACUU